AACUAUUCUUAUAUCUUUUUGGCUGCAUCGUGGCUGCAUGCGACACAAUAAUUUGUUGAAAGAGGACAAAGCUGAGGGAGCCUGGGGAGGAUCACAAACGCCUACAGGUCCUUGCAAGAGCGUGACGUCACUGGGUUCUCGUGAUCCCUGCCCUAACAUGUGGCAUAGCAAAACAAUCACACUAGAGUAAAUCUAGCCUUGUAUGGCUCGCGGCCAAGAUUUUAUCCAGAGAAUUGCUCUACCGUAUUUUUACGAGCUAGGGAUACGGCGAGACGCAGAUCCAUUUGAG
Non-coding RNA from Paramuricea clavata, 289 nucleotides. Lineage: Eukaryota; Metazoa; Cnidaria; Anthozoa; Malacalcyonacea; Plexauridae. The record is from the annotation of a GenBank genome assembly.